GGGGAAUAUUGGACAAUGGGGGGACCCCUGAUCCAGCCAUGCCGCGUGUGUGAAGAAGGCCUUAUGGUUGUAAAGCACUUUAAGCGAGGAGGAGGCCCUUUUGGUUAAUACCCAAGAUGAGUGGACGUUACUCGCAGAAUAAGCACCGGCUAACUCUGUGCCAGCAGCCGCGGUAAUACGAAGGGUGCAAGCGUUACUCGGAAUUACUGGGCGUAAAGCGUGCGUAGGUGGUGGUUUAAGUCCGUUGUGAAAGCCCUGGGCUCAACCUGGGAAGUGCAGUGGAUACGGCACCACUAGAGUGGGGCAGAGGGUAGUGGAAUUCCCGGUGUAGAAGUGAAAUGCGUAGAGAUCGGGAGGAACAUCAGUGGCGAAGGCGACUGCCUGGGCCAACACUGACACUGAGGCACGAAAGCGUGGGGAGCAAACA
Molecule: ribosomal RNA, 427 nt
Filed under: uncultured Gammaproteobacteria bacterium
Lineage: Bacteria; Pseudomonadati; Pseudomonadota; Gammaproteobacteria
Description: bacterial SSU rRNA
Rfam family: Bacterial small subunit ribosomal RNA
Source: RNAcentral